GACGAACCGAGCGAACGUUAUUCGGAAUCACUGGGCUUAAAGGGUGCGUAGGCGGGCGGCCAAGUCAGGGGUGAAAGCCUCCAGCUCAACUGGAGAAGUGCCUUUGAUACUGGUCGUCUCGAGGGAGGUAGGGGCGUGCGGAACUUCCGGUGGAGCGGUGAAAUGCGUAGAUAUCGGAAGGAACACCAGUGGCGAAAGCGGCGCGCUGGACCUCUUCUGACGCUGAGGCACGAAAGCCAGGGGAGCAAACGGG
This 253-nucleotide ribosomal RNA is filed under the name uncultured bacterium. RNAcentral's name for it is "partial 16S ribosomal RNA". It matches the Rfam family "Bacterial small subunit ribosomal RNA", at positions 524 to 776 of the family's 1533-position model. The record is from RNAcentral.